RNAcentral lists this ribosomal RNA (122 nucleotides) under Petromyzon marinus (sea lamprey). The record is from RNAcentral. Lineage: Eukaryota; Metazoa; Chordata; Hyperoartia; Petromyzontiformes; Petromyzontidae.
GUUCAUGACCAAUUCACCUGGAGUAGUACCGAUACCCAUCAGAUCUCAGAAGCUAAGCAGGUUUGUGCCUGGAUAGUUCUUGGUUGGGCGACCACCGCGCAUAGAAACAGGAGUUGUAGGCU